Molecule: ribosomal RNA, 301 nt
Filed under: uncultured bacterium
Lineage: Bacteria
Description: partial 16S ribosomal RNA
Rfam family: Bacterial small subunit ribosomal RNA
Source: RNAcentral
CAGCAGCCACGGGAAUACGAAGGGUGCAAGCGUUAAUCGGAAUUACUGGGCGUAAAGGGUGCGUAGGCGGGUUAUUAAGUCAGAGGUGAAAUCCUGGAGCUCAACUCCAGAACUGCCUUUGAUACUGAUAGUCUUGAGUAUGGGAGAGGUGAGUGGAGCUGCGAGUGUAGAGGUGAAAUUCGUAGAUAUUCGCAAGAACACCAGUGGCGAAGGCGGCUCACUGGCCCAUAACUGACGCUGAGGCACGAAAGCGUGGGGAGCAAACAGGAUUAGAUACCCCCGUAGUCCCUGUCUCUUAUAC